UAGGGAAUCUUCCACAAUGGACGCAAGUCUGAUGGAGCAACGCCGCGUGAGUGAAGAAGGCUUUCGGGUCGUAAAACUCUGUUAUUGAAGAAGAACGUGUGUGACAGUAACUGGUCAUGCAGUGACGGUAUUCAAUCAGAAAGUCACGGCUAACUACGUGCCAGCAGCCGCGGUAAUACGUAGGUGGCAAGCGUUGUCCGGAUUUAUUGGGCGUAAAGCGAGUGCAGGCGGCCUUUUAAGUCUGAUGUGAAAGCCUUCGGCUUAACCGAAGAAGGGCAUCGGAAACUGGGAGACUUGAGUGCAGAAG
RNAcentral lists this ribosomal RNA (307 nucleotides) under uncultured bacterium. RNAcentral's name for it is "partial 16S ribosomal RNA". It matches the Rfam family "Bacterial small subunit ribosomal RNA", at positions 355 to 654 of the family's 1533-position model. The record is from RNAcentral.